RNAcentral lists this ribosomal RNA (372 nucleotides) under uncultured organism. Its description in RNAcentral is "partial 16S ribosomal RNA". It matches the Rfam family "Bacterial small subunit ribosomal RNA", at positions 527 to 896 of the family's 1533-position model. The record is from RNAcentral.
GUAGGUGGCAAGCGUUGUCCGGAAUUAUUGGGCGUAAAGCGCGCGCAGGCGGUCCUUUAAGUCUGAUGUGAAAGCCCACGGCUCAACCGUGGAGGGUCAUUGGAAACUGGGGGACUUGAGUACAGAAGAGGAAAGCGGAAUUCCACGUGUAGCGGUGAAAUGCGUAGAGAUGUGGAGGAACACCAGUGGCGAAGGCGGCUUUCUGGUCUGUAACUGACGCUGAGGCGCGAAAGCGUGGGGAGCAAACAGGGAUUAGAUACCCUGGUAGUCCACGCCGUAAACGAUGAGUGCUAGUGUUAGGGGGUUUCCCGCCCCUUAGUGCUGCAGCUAACGCAUUAAGCACUCCGCCUGGGGAGUACGGCCGCAAGGCUG